CUACUACCGAUUGAAUGGCUCAGUGAGGCUUUCGGACCGGCCCAGAGAAGAUGUGGCAACACUCACUCAGGGCCUGGAAAGUUGGUCAAACUUGGUCAUUUAGAGGAAGUAAAAGUCGUAACAAGGUU
RNAcentral lists this ribosomal RNA (128 nucleotides) under uncultured eukaryote. RNAcentral describes it as "partial 18S ribosomal RNA". It matches the Rfam family "Eukaryotic small subunit ribosomal RNA", at positions 1679 to 1801 of the family's 1831-position model. The record is from RNAcentral.